CCCAGGGCUCACGGGGAGACCACACCAGGGAGCCGCGCCCAGGGCCUCUGCACCCCUGUUUAUGGGGCCACUUGGGCGGAAGGGGCUUCGGUUCUGUGGGGGGACUUUAGCUCCUCUCUUGCCAACCCCUGGGGGGGCAGCCCGGGGAUGCGACUGCCCCUGUCCCUAGAGUCAGCCCGGAGUCUCCAGGCCAGCCCUGCCCUCAGGCAGAGCCCCGUUUGUCCCUCCAGCUGGUCUGCAGCCCGAAGUCCCCGUGGUGUCAGGCGGCCCGUGUCCCUUGCCCCUGAGGGGUGUCUGGCUCCGGUUCUGGCCUAGAAUUUGGACACCCUGAGUUAGCCACACCUGGCAGGUUCCAGGCGAGCCGUCCCGCGCCGGGGCGGGUACACGUCUGACGCCCAGGCUCCCGCCCUCUCCGGCCCCGUGGCCCCAGGUCACCUGUGCACCGCUCCUGACGAGCCCGGCUGGCAGGCACACCGGCCGAGAGGAGGACGGGACCAGCUGAGCGUUGGUCAAGAAGCGGGGAGCCUGGUUGGGGGUAUACCUGGAGUACCCGGAGCCCGUGAAGCUGCCCAUCACCUUGGUGAUCCUGGGAUCAACACCCUGCUUAUGGUGAAGGCCAACCUGCUGAGCAACCUGAAAGCAGGGAAGACCCAUUUAGGAAAGACUCACUCAUCUGUACGGGGGAGCUGGUAUUCCCAGCCCCAGGCCAG
RNAcentral lists this long non-coding RNA (710 nucleotides) under Canis lupus dingo (dingo). Its description in RNAcentral is "lncRNA (ENSCAFG00020003821.1)". Lineage: Eukaryota; Metazoa; Chordata; Mammalia; Carnivora; Canidae. The record is from RNAcentral.